RNAcentral lists this ribosomal RNA (456 nucleotides) under uncultured bacterium. RNAcentral describes it as "bacterial SSU rRNA". It matches the Rfam family "Bacterial small subunit ribosomal RNA", at positions 340 to 786 of the family's 1533-position model. The record is from RNAcentral.
UACGGAAGGCAGCAGUGGGGAAUAUUGCACAAUGGGCGAAAGCCUGAUGCAGCUAUGCCGCGUGUAUGAAGAAGGCCUUAGGGUUGUAAAGUACUUUCAUCGGGGAGGAAAAAACAAAACUAAUAAUUUUAUUUCUUGACGUUACCCGAAAAAGAAGCACCGGCUAACUCCGUGCCAGCAGCCGCGGUAAUACGGAGGGUGCUAGCGUUAAUCAGAAUUACUGGGCGUAAAGAGCACGUAGGUGGUUUUUUUAAGUCAGAUGUGAAAUCCCUGGGCUUAACCUAGGAACUGCAUUUCGAAACUGAAAUACUAGAGUAUCGUAGAGGGAGGUAGAAUUCUAGGUGUAGCGGUGAAAUGCGUAGAUAUCUGGAGGAAUACCUGUGGCGAAAGCGGCCUCCUAGACGAAUACUGACACUGAGGUGCGAAAGCGUGGGGAGCAAACGAGGAUUAGAUACC